AUGCAAGUCGACGAGAAGUGGAGCAAUCCAUGAGUACAGUGGCGUACGGGUGAGUAACACGUGGGUGAUCUACCUUUUAGUGAGGAAUAACCCUGGGAAACCGGGGCUAAUACCGCAUGAGCCCGAGAGGGGAAAGCAGAAAUGCGCUGAAAGAGGAGCCCGCGGCCGAUUAGCUAGUUGGUGAGGUAAGAGCCCACCAAGGCAGAGAUCGGUAGCCGGCCUGAGAGGGCACACGGCCACACUGGCACUGAAACACGGGCCAGACUCCUACGGGAGGCAGCAGUGGGGAAUCUUGCACAAUGGGGGAAACCCUGAUGCAGCGACGCCGCGUGAGCGAUGAAGCCCUUCGGGGUGUAAAGCUCUUUCGUCAGGGAAGAUAGUGACGGUACCUGGAGAAGCAGCUGCGGCUAACUACGUGCCAGCAGCCGCGGUAAUACGUAGGCAGCAAGCGUUGUUCGGAGUUACUGGGCGUAAAGGGUGUGUAGGCGGUUCUUUAAGUUUGGUGUGAAAUCUCCCGGCUUAACCGGGAGGGUGCGCCGAAUACUGAGGGACUAGAGUACGGGAGAGGAAAGUGGAAUUCCUGGUGUAGCGGUGAAAUGCGUAGAUAUCAGGAGGAACACCGGUGGUGUAGACGGCUUUCUGGACCGUAACUGACGCUGAGACACGAAAGCGUGGGUAGCAAACAGGAUUAGAUACCCUGGUAGUCCACGCCCUAAACGAUGCAUAUUUGGUGUGGGCAGUUCAUUCUGUCUGUGCCGGAGCUAACGCGUUAAAUAUGCCGCCUGGGGAGUACAGUCGCAAGGCUGAAGCUCAAAGGAAUUGACGGGGGCCCGCACAAGCGGUGGAGCAUGUGGUUCAAUUCGACGCAACGCGAAGAACCUUACCUGGGCUCGAACGGCUUCUCAACGUCGUUAGAAAUAGCGAUACCCCGCAAGGGGGUGGAGUCGAGGUGCUGCAUGGCUGUCGUCAGCUCGUGUCGUGAGAUGUUGGGUUUAAGUCCCGCAACGAGCGCA
This 1013-nucleotide ribosomal RNA is filed under the name uncultured bacterium. Its description in RNAcentral is "bacterial SSU rRNA". It matches the Rfam family "Bacterial small subunit ribosomal RNA", at positions 55 to 1100 of the family's 1533-position model. The record is from RNAcentral.